Molecule: ribosomal RNA, 305 nt
Filed under: uncultured bacterium
Lineage: Bacteria
Description: bacterial SSU rRNA
Rfam family: Bacterial small subunit ribosomal RNA
Source: RNAcentral
ACCUACGGGACGCAGCAGUGGGGGAUAUUGCACAAUGGGGGAAACCCUGAUGCAGCGACGCCGCGUGUGGGAAGACGGUCCUCUGGAUUGUAAACCACUGUCCCCAGGGACGAAGAUGACGGUACCUGGGGAGGAAGCUCCGGCUAACUACGUGCCAGCAGCCGCGGUAAUACGUAGGGAGCGAGCGUUGUCCGGAAUUACUGGGUGUAAAGGGAGCGUAGGCGGGACUGCAAGUCAGAUGUGAAAAUUAUGGGCUCAACCCAUAACCUGCAUUUGAAACUGUAGUUCUUGAGUGAUGGAGAGGC